Molecule: ribosomal RNA, 218 nt
Filed under: uncultured fungus
Lineage: Eukaryota; Fungi
Description: partial small subunit ribosomal RNA
Rfam family: Eukaryotic small subunit ribosomal RNA
Source: RNAcentral
GGUGUGGGUUUGGUUGUAGCUUCAAACGAAGUUAGUGAUUCUUACCUGCACCAUCUUGGAGGUAGUUGUGUUGUGUCAUUCAGUUGAUGGAGCAUGUCUUCUCCUCGUUUACUGUGAGCAAAAUAGAGUGUUCAAAGCAGGCUUAUGCCGUUGAAUACAUUAGCAUGGAAUAAUAAGAUAAGACCUUGGUCUAUUUUGUUGGUUUAUGUUUCAAGGUA